GGAGGCCGACUCGCGCCGGAGUUCCAGGCGCCAAUCCGGAGACCUGGGCUCGGGCCUGACCCUGAGGAUGAAGAACUGUUUGGACAGGAGCAUGAGUCUCUUUACCUGUGACACGGGGGUGUCCCCUCUACCCAGUUUCCUCCUGGAGGGGCUGUGAGGAUCAGCUGUCUCCACCAGCCCCACGCUUUUCAAGGCCAGGCACGCUCUUCAUUCAUCUGUAUUUUUCUUCCACGAUGUCUGGUGCCCAACCAGGCACACGGCAGUCAAACGCAUGAAUGGAAACCUAGUCCAAUGUUGGCUGGGAGGGUCCCUCCGCCCAGCUCUGUGUGAGGGAGAUCUCCUUGCAUGACACCCUCCUGCCUUGAACCAGAUGGAAACAAUCCUCACAUCUCAGAGCGGGAAGAAGCAUCCCUGUUCAUGUCACCCAGUGCCUCUGUGAUUCCACAGCCUCCAAGCACAUCCUCCCGAGAAAAUAAUGGGAAAGUUGAUGAAACUCGAAGCCGGGGAAGUGGCUGCCUGGGAGGCAUUAAGGACAUCCGAGGAUGCCUCUUAUCUCCUGAGAGCGUGUGGCCAGGCCUGCCCAGAAUAACAGAAACCCACUGGGCCUGAUCAAGGACAUGUGGGCUCAAAUCCUGGGCCCACGCCUCCGAGGUCCGGGACUGGAGUGUGAGUCACCUGUGAUCUUUGAAUCUCAGUCCUAGAUCUGAAACAUUUAAGAGUGUUAAGAACAAGUGAAUGAGAUGACCCACAUAAGCGCAGUGCCUGGCAGUAGUAGGUGCUCAAUAAAUGUCAAUGGCCUUGUCAA
This is a long non-coding RNA of Hyaena hyaena (striped hyena), 805 nucleotides long. RefSeq lists it as uncharacterized. The transcript is spliced from 3 exons. The record is from RefSeq and is a predicted model, not a curated record. Lineage: Eukaryota; Metazoa; Chordata; Mammalia; Carnivora; Hyaenidae.